CAGCCGCCGCGGGAAUACGGAGGGCGCGAGCGUUACCCGGAUUUACUGGGCGUAAAGGGCGUGUAGGCGGCCUGGGGCGUCCCAUGUGAAAGGCCACGGCUCAACCGUGGAGGAGCGUGGGAUACGCUCAGGCUAGAGGGUGGGAGAGGGUGGUGGAAUUCCCGGAGUAGCGGUGAAAUGCGCAGAUACCGGGAGGAACGCCGGUGGCGAAGGCAGCCACCUGGUUCACUUCUGACGCUGAGGCACGAAAGCGUGGGGAGCAAACAGGAUUAGAUACCCCGGUAGUCCCUGUCUCUUAUAC
RNAcentral lists this ribosomal RNA (301 nucleotides) under uncultured bacterium. Its description in RNAcentral is "partial 16S ribosomal RNA". It matches the Rfam family "Bacterial small subunit ribosomal RNA", at positions 509 to 807 of the family's 1533-position model. The record is from RNAcentral.